UACGUAGGGGGCAAGCGUUAUCCGGAUUUACUGGGUGUAAAGGGAGCGUAGACGGCAGUGCAAGUCUGAAGUGAAAGCCCCGGGCUUAACCCGGGAACUGCUUUGGAGACUGUACGGCUGGAGUGCUGGAGAGGUAAGCGGAAUUCCUAGUGUAGCGGUGAAAUGCGUAGAUAUUAGGAGGAACACCAGUGGCGAAGGCGGCUUACUGGACAGUAACUGACGUUGAGGCUCGAAAGCGUGGGGAGCAAACAGG
RNAcentral lists this ribosomal RNA (253 nucleotides) under uncultured bacterium. RNAcentral describes it as "partial 16S ribosomal RNA". It matches the Rfam family "Bacterial small subunit ribosomal RNA", at positions 524 to 776 of the family's 1533-position model. The record is from RNAcentral.